AUCUCUAAUGCAAGGUUCU
This 19-nucleotide microRNA is filed under the name Lotus japonicus. RNAcentral describes it as "lja-miR11068c-5p". The record is from miRBase by way of RNAcentral. Lineage: Eukaryota; Viridiplantae; Streptophyta; Magnoliopsida; Fabales; Fabaceae.